RNAcentral lists this ribosomal RNA (799 nucleotides) under uncultured Pelagibacteraceae bacterium. Its description in RNAcentral is "bacterial SSU rRNA". It matches the Rfam family "Bacterial small subunit ribosomal RNA", at positions 40 to 887 of the family's 1533-position model. Lineage: Bacteria; Pseudomonadati; Pseudomonadota; Alphaproteobacteria; Candidatus Pelagibacterales; Candidatus Pelagibacteraceae. The record is from RNAcentral.
CGGCACGCCUAACACAUGCAAGUCGAACGAAGUAGCAAUACUUAGUGGCAGACGGGUGAGUAACAUGUAGGUAUCUACCCUUUGGCCUGGAAUAACACGAGGAAACUUGUGCUAAUACCGGAUAAGUCUUUACGGAGAAAGCUUUAUGCACCAUUGGAUGAGCCUGCACUUGAUUAGUUUGUUGGUGGGGUAAUGGCCUACCAAGACUGUGAUCAAUAGCUGAUUUGAGAGGAUGAUCAGCCACAUUGGGACUGAGACACGGCCCAAACUCCUACGGGAGGCAGCAGUGGGGAAUCUUGCACAAUGGAGGAAACUCUGAUGCAGCGAUGCCGCGUGAGUGAAGAAGGCCCUUGGGUUGUAAAGCUCUUUCGUCGGGGAAGAAAAUGACUGUACCCGAAUAAGAAGGUCCGGCUAACUUCGUGCCAGCAGCCGCGGUAAUACGAAGGGACCUAGCGUAGUUCGGAAUUACUGGGCUUAAAGAGUUCGUAGGUGGUUGAAAAAGUUAGUGGUGAAAUCCCAGAGCUUAACUCUGGAACUGCCAUUAAAACUUUUCAGCUAGAGUAUGAUAGAGGAAAGCAGAAUUUCUAGUGUAGAGGUGAAAUUCGUAGAUAUUAGAAAGAAUACCAAUUGCGAAGGCAGCUUUCUGGAUCAUUACUGACGCUGAGGAACGAAAGCAUGGGUAGCGAAGAGGAUUAGAUACCCUCGUAGUCCAUGCCGUAAACGAUGUGUGUUAGACGUUGGAAAUUUAUUUUCAGUGUCGCAGCGAAAGCGAUAAACACACCGCCUGGGGAGUACGACC